Molecule: long non-coding RNA, 268 nt
Filed under: Ictidomys tridecemlineatus (thirteen-lined ground squirrel)
Lineage: Eukaryota; Metazoa; Chordata; Mammalia; Rodentia; Sciuridae
Description: lncRNA (ENSSTOG00000032017.1)
Source: RNAcentral
AAGUGCUCUAUACUAAAACUUUCUCCUCCUUGUCAGUUGUGGAAAUGGGAACUUCUUAGACAGGUAGCUGAGGAGACAGACCCACGUGGGAUUUGACCAAGUACAAUUCCCACCACGAAGGAGAUGGAUUGAUGCCAAAUCGUGCCUGUCGCCUACCACAUCAGACCCUACCCAGAGAAAAAAAAUAAACAAAUAGAACUAUCGCCAAGGAGCUAAAACCAGCAAUGGAAACUGAGUCACGCCAAAGGAAAGCCUCAAACUCCCCAAC